UUUCCGUAGGUGAACCUGCGGAAGGAUCAUUACAGAGUUCAUGCCCUCACGGGUAGAUCUCCCACCCUUGAAUAUUAUACCUUCGUUGCUUUGGCAGGCCGUGGAAACACCAGAGGCUCCGGCUGAUGCGUGCCUGCCAGAGGAAACAAACCCUGUUUUCAGUGAUGUCUGAGUACUAUAUAAUAGUUAAAACUUUCAACAACGGAUCUCUUGGUUCUG
Molecule: unclassified non-coding RNA, 219 nt
Filed under: plant metagenome
Description: partial contains small subunit ribosomal RNA, internal transcribed spacer 1, and 5.8S ribosomal RNA
Source: RNAcentral